Molecule: ribosomal RNA, 494 nt
Filed under: uncultured bacterium
Lineage: Bacteria
Description: partial 16S ribosomal RNA
Rfam family: Bacterial small subunit ribosomal RNA
Source: RNAcentral
AUGAACGCUGGCGGCGUGCCUAAUACAUGCAAGUCGAGCGAACAGACGAGGAGCUUGCUCCUCUGACGUUAGCGGCGGACGGGUGAGUAACACGUGGAUAACCUACCUAUAAGACUGGGAUAACUUCGGGAAACCGGAGCUAAUACCGGAUAAUAUAUUGAACCGCAUGGUUCAAUAGUGAAAGACGGUUUUGCUGUCACUUAUAGAUGGAUCCGCGCCGCAUUAGCUAGUUGGUAAGGUAACGGCUUACCAAGGCGACGAUGCGUAGCCGACCUGAGAGGGUGAUCGGCCACACUGGAACUGAGACACGGUCCAGACUCCUACGGGAGGCAGCAGUAGGGAAUCUUCCGCAAUGGGCGAAAGCCUGACGGAGCAACGCCGCGUGAGUGAUGAAGGUCUUCGGAUCGUAAAACUCUGUUAUUAGGGAAGAACAAAUGUGUAAGUAACUAUGCACGUCCUGACGGUACCUAAUCAGAAAGCCACGGCUAACUACG